This 468-nucleotide ribosomal RNA is filed under the name uncultured bacterium. RNAcentral describes it as "partial 16S ribosomal RNA". It matches the Rfam family "Bacterial small subunit ribosomal RNA", at positions 28 to 507 of the family's 1533-position model. The record is from RNAcentral.
GACGAACGCUGGCGGCGUGCUUAACACAUGCAAGUCGAACGGAAAUGCCCUGCUUUUGUGGGGUGCUCGAGUGGCGAACGGUUGAUUAACACGUGAGUAACCUGCCCUUGACUUUGGGAUAACUUCAGGAAACUGGGGCUAAUACCGGAUAGGAGCUCCUGCUGCAUGGUGGGGGUUGGAAAGUUUCGGCGGUUGGGGAUGGACUCGCGGCUUAUCAGCUUGUUGGUGGGGUAGUGGCUUACCAAGGCUUUGGCGGGUGGCCGGCCUGAGAGGGUGACCGGCCACAUUGGGACUGAGAUACGGCCCAGACUCCUACGGGAGGCAGCAGUGGGGAAUAUUGCACAAUGGGCGGAAGCCUGAUGCAGCAACGCCGCGUGCGGGAUGACGGCCUUCGGGUUGUAAACCGCUUUCGCCUGUGACGAAGCGUGAGUGACGGUAAUGGGUAAAGAAGCACCGGCUAACUACGUG